Molecule: non-coding RNA, 264 nt
Organism: Myodes glareolus (Bank vole)
Lineage: Eukaryota; Metazoa; Chordata; Mammalia; Rodentia; Cricetidae
Source: RefSeq, a predicted model, not a curated record
UAGGAUUAAGAUGACAGUUGAGUGGCAGAGCAAAUACUUAGCAUUCUGGGGCUCUGGGUUUAACUGCCAGCACACCAUACAUACAUACACACACACACACACACACACACACACACACACACAUCUAUAACUCAAAGGGAGGGAAGACAUAUUUCUAGUUCAAAGAGACUGCCCAGCAAAUUUCAGUUGUUCAUAAUCUUCAUCCUAGUAAUGCCUUACAUAUUAUAUUCCUUACUAUGUAAUUAAGAACAAAGCUCUCUUGUU